GGGGAUUUAGCUCAGCGGCAUAAGCGCCUGCCUUGCAAGCAGGCAGUCGUGAGUUCGAUUCAUGGUACCGA
Molecule: transfer RNA, 71 nt
Filed under: Cavia porcellus (domestic guinea pig)
Lineage: Eukaryota; Metazoa; Chordata; Mammalia; Rodentia; Caviidae
Rfam family: tRNA
About the family: Transfer RNA (tRNA) molecules are approximately 80 nucleotides in length.
Source: Rfam by way of RNAcentral